CUAAUUUUUUAAUGUAUUUUUUAGUAGAGACAGGGUUUCACCGUGUUAGCCAGGAUGGUCUUGAUCUCCUGACCUUGUGAUCCACCUACCUCGGCCUCCCAGAGUGCUGGGAUUACAGGGGUGAACCACUGCGCUCGGCUUUGCCACGAUCAGCUUGGCUUUUUAAAACUUUAGUUUUGUUUUUAUUACUCCAUACCUCUUCAACUCUCAGUAAGUCACUAGUGGCCUGAAACAAAAUGUAAGUGCGCUAGGGAGCUUCCUCUGUGGGAUGAGCCAUUUUAUAACACAAAACCUUCUGCCACACGGAUCGCCUUUUCAUCAUUAAUUUGUCUGGUAAAUAUCACAUUAGUCCAGGCUUUACAAAAUCAGAUACUAGAUGUACUUCCCAUGAAAACAUGAACAAAUCUGCAUUUGGAAGAUCUGGGUGGCAGGACACAGAGGUGAGGGACCUUUCCGGAGGGUCCAAGUCCUCCCUCUGGAGGACAGUCACUAUCUAGAACUGUGUCUACAGGAACUGUUUUCAUGCAUCCAGAUGUGGACAUGAAGGACCAGCCCACGGUAAUGACUGGCUAAGUCAAUUCCAUACAUAUUUACUGAGCAUUCCCCAUGCCCUGGGCGCUGAGAGGGUCCCCCUAGGAAGCAGGUGCAUCCUGCCCUUGGUGAGAUUAGGCUUCUGUCGUACUCAGUCAGUGCAAUAUCGUCAACUCCCAAGACCCCUACCUAGCCAGGUAGAGGAGAGGAUUGGAGAGAAAUCAUUAAGUCACUUCAGCCCUUUUAAUUAGCUUUUUCCAGUCUCAAGUGCUACUGCAGGUAUGAGGGAAGUGAAGCCCUGAGCGCUGCUCCGGAGGAUUUGGCAUGCGAGUGAGUGGGAAAGAAAGAAAGCUCCUUCAAUGACUGCCGUGGAAAAAGUGCCCCGGAUUGGCGCAUCUGAAGCUGACGUGCGCACGGGUCACCUGGGAGUCCUGUCAAAAUGUAGGUUCUGAUUUGCUGGAUUGGGGUGUGGCCCAACAACCUGCAUUUCCGGUUUGCCCAGGUGAUGUUCAUGCCACUGAUCCUGAGCCACACUUUGAGAAGCCAGCUUCCUCCAAAAGUCUAUCAAUUCUCCAACAACUAAGAAAAACUACACAUCACCCAUUCAGUCUUGGGAGCCUGCAUUCCCAAGGGGCUGUGUCUCCCACUGCAGUCCCAUCACCCUGCCAUCUGGGGAAAGAAAGCAAACCGAAAACCUUAGAACAGUAAAAGCAUUCAUCGCGUGGCCGGCUGAGGCUUGAGCUUGCUGGAGAAGUGAGGUUUCUAAAGAGCUCUGCCCCACUGACACCUCAAGCUGCCCUGACUGCUCCUCCCUGAGCUGAGAGGUGCCAUCAGCUGUCAGACCUGGCCUCAGGGUAACAGGCAACGAAGGCACAGGAAAUACUCUUUGAGCUGCUGAACACUUUAGUGUUCAGCCCCUUAACCUAAGGAGGAGCUACACAAAUGAAGAACUGUGGAACUGACCUCAGAUGCUCUCUCGUUGGAAAUUGGCACGCAAACCACAACCACGAUGGCGGCUUCUGAGAGGUGGAGGAGAGGGGUGUGGCAAAGCAGCAAGGAAGGGGGUCUGGGGUCCAGCCCAGCUGGGACAGUGAAGGUUCCCUGUUCAAGGGGACUCUGUUCCUUGGACAAUGAUUGCUUCCUUUAUGCUCUGGAGUCCAGCAGAGACUGACACACAGUUGGGGCUAAACACGUCUGAGGGUGAUGAAACUCCCAUUUCUGACGCCGUCAACUUGUUUUCUGUAAUGUUAGCCCUGCCAUAUUCCAGCUCGACAGAGCUUGGGCAGCCCGAGGUGGUGACUGUAUUUGGCCAUCAGCCAUGUCCCUUGCAGGGCCAGUCUCUGAGGUGCCAUGAGACCUUCUGUGCCUGGCAAGCCGGGGCACUUCGGAGAAUGGCAGCUGCCUGGUUUCUCAGGGGAGCAACUACAUUCCUAAGUCGCUUGGGGAUCGCUUGACUUCCCUCAUUCAUUCACCCAUCCUUCCAUCCAUCUAUUCCUUCAUCCAGCAAAUUGGACCCCUUCCGUGUGCCAGACACUGUUCUGAGCAGAAGCACCUGCCCUUGAGGAAGUGACACUCCAGUGGGGAGAGACAAGUAAGCUCACAAAGAUCUAUCUGCAAAAUCAAAUUCCAGGUAGUGAUCAGUGCCACGAACAAAAAUAAAAAUGAAUAAAGAGAUGUAAAAUGAUUUCCUUCCCCAAGGGCAGAGGAUUCUUUCUAGCAGGUUAUUUGGAAAAGUUCCCUCUGAAGAGGUGACAUUUGAUCAUUGUUAAAGUCACAUGCAUCAUUGUGAACAUUUCACAAAACACAGAAGAACCUAAUGCUUUCGCACAAACCAUCAUCUAGAAAUCACACCAUCUCAACAUCUUGUCGUUUAAAAAUUGAUAUAUAAUAAUGGUACAUAUUUCUGGGGUCCCUGUGAUAUUUUGAUACAUGCAGACAAUGUGUAAUGAUCAAAUCAGGGUAAUUAGGCUAUCCAUCACUUCAAACAUGUAUCAUUUCUUUGCCAAUGCCUUGUCUUUUGUCGUCUUAAAGUACAGAUUUGCAUCAUGCUUUUUAAAAUUUAACAUUACACUAUAAUUAUUUUGUAGCUGUGUUUAUGUUUUUCUGUUUUCAAGUAUCAAUAUAUAGUAUGGAUUUUUAAAAAAUUGGUACUGUAAAUGUACAUGAAGUUUUUCUGUCUUUACAAAAGAAG
Homo sapiens (human) is the source of this 2722-nucleotide long non-coding RNA. NCBI's taxonomy places the organism in Eukaryota, Metazoa, Chordata, Mammalia, Primates, Hominidae. The record is from Ensembl.